UACGGAGGAUGCGAGCGUUAUCCGGAUUCAUUGGGUUUAAAGGGUGCGCGGGCGGCGCUCCAAGUCAGCGGUCAAAUCCGCGGGCUCAACCCGCGGCCGCCGUUGAUACUGGAGUGCUUGAGUAGGUGCGACGGAUGCGGAAUGCGUGGUGUAGCGGUGAAAUGCAUAGAUAUCACGCAGAACCCCGAUUGCGAAGGCAGCGUCCGAGCACCCCCACUGACGCUGAGGCACGAAAGCGUGGGUAUCGAAC
Molecule: ribosomal RNA, 250 nt
Filed under: uncultured prokaryote
Description: partial 16S ribosomal RNA
Rfam family: Bacterial small subunit ribosomal RNA
Source: RNAcentral